AGAGUUUGCUCCGGGCUCAGNNUGAACGGGGGNCGCNNNCCUCACACACACAAGUAGAGNGGUAGCACAGAGAGCUUGCUCUCGGGUGACGAGCGGCGGACGGGUGAGUAAUGUCUGGGAAACUGCCUGAUGGAGGGGGAUAACUACUGGAAACGGUAGCUAAUACCGCAUAAUGUCGCAAGACCAAAGAGGGGGACCUUCGGGCCUCUUGCCAUCAGAUGUGCCCAGAUGGGAUUAGCUAGUAGGUGGGGUAACGGCUCACCUAGGCGACGAUCCCUAGCUGGUCUGAGAGGAUGACCAGCCACACUGGAACUGAGACACGGUCCAGACUCCUACGGGAGGCAGCAGUGGGGAAUAUUGCACAAUGGGCGCAAGCCUGAUGCAGCCAUGCCGCGUGUAUGAAGAAGGCCUUCGGGUUGUAAAGUACUUUCAGCGGGGAGGAAGGUGUUGAGGUUAAUAACCUCAGCAAUUGACGUUACCCGCAGAAGAAGCACCGGCUAACUCCGUGCCAGCAGCCGCGGUAAUACGGAGGGUGCAAGCGUUAAUCGGAAUUACUGGGCGUAAAGCGCACGCAGGCGGUCUGUCAAGUCGGAUGUGAAAUCCCCGGGCUCAACCUGGGAACUGCAUCCGAAACUGGCAGGCUUGAGUCUUGUAGAGGGGGGUAGAAUUCCAGGUGUAGCGGUGAAAUGCGUAGAGAUCUGGAGGAAUACCGGUGGCGAAGGCGGCCCCNNNACAAAGACNG
Molecule: ribosomal RNA, 742 nt
Filed under: Citrobacter youngae
Lineage: Bacteria; Pseudomonadati; Pseudomonadota; Gammaproteobacteria; Enterobacterales; Enterobacteriaceae
Description: bacterial SSU rRNA
Rfam family: Bacterial small subunit ribosomal RNA
Source: RNAcentral